CAGGUAGCGUAGCUGGUUAGCGCAUCUGGCUUACAUCCAGAGGGUCAGGGGUUCGAUUCCCUUCCUGGG
This 69-nucleotide transfer RNA is filed under the name bovine gut metagenome. It matches the Rfam family "tRNA". From Rfam's summary of the family: Transfer RNA (tRNA) molecules are approximately 80 nucleotides in length. Their secondary structure includes four short double-helical elements and three loops (D, anti-codon, and T loops). Further hydrogen bonds mediate the characteristic L-shaped molecular structure. tRNAs have two regions of fundamental functional importance: the anti-codon, which is responsible for specific mRNA codon recognition, and the 3' end, to which the tRNAs corresponding amino acid is attached (by aminoacyl-tRNA synthetases). tRNAs cope with the degeneracy of the genetic code in two manners: having more than one tRNA (with a specific anti-codon) for a particular amino acid; and 'wobble' base-pairing, i.e. permitting non-standard base-pairing at the 3rd anti-codon position. The record is from RNAcentral.